This 205-nucleotide long non-coding RNA is filed under the name Physcomitrium patens. RNAcentral's name for it is "long non-coding RNA (PPAT_LNC013600)". The record is from RNAcentral. Lineage: Eukaryota; Viridiplantae; Streptophyta; Bryopsida; Funariales; Funariaceae.
UCAACCCUCUAUAACUUCUUCAUCCAAACUCCAAAUUUAUUAAACAAUAUAUGAAAAAUAUAGUUAAAUAAGUGCUCUCUCCAACCAUAGUCACCGAUCUUUUGAUGCUCUCCGUAAACGUAUGUAAUUUCCCAAAGAGUGACAAUAGGUAUGAAAUUGACACCUUAACUUUGAGCGCCAAUAAUUCCUUCUUAAAAACUCCAAA